This 233-nucleotide ribosomal RNA is filed under the name uncultured bacterium. Its description in RNAcentral is "partial 16S ribosomal RNA". It matches the Rfam family "Bacterial small subunit ribosomal RNA", at positions 118 to 351 of the family's 1533-position model. The record is from RNAcentral.
UGAGCAAUCUGCCCUUCUCAUCGGAAUAAGCGUUGGAAACGACGUCUAAUACCGGAUACGACCUCCGAUGGCAUCAUCUGGAGGUGGAAAGCUACGACGGUCAAGGACGGGCUCGCGGCCUAUCAGCUUGUUGGUGAGGUAACGGCUCACCAAGGCUUCGACGGGUAGCCGGCCUGAGAGGGCGACCGGCCACACUGGGACUGAGAUACGGCCCAGACUCCUACGGGAGGNAG